Molecule: ribosomal RNA, 466 nt
Filed under: uncultured bacterium
Lineage: Bacteria
Description: partial 16S ribosomal RNA
Rfam family: Bacterial small subunit ribosomal RNA
Source: RNAcentral
GACGAACGCUGGCGGCGUGCUUAACACAUGCAAGUCGAACGGAAAGGCCUCUUUCGUGGUGUUCUCGCGUGGCGGACGGGUGAGUAACACGUGAGUAACUUGCCCUUGUCUUUGGGAUAACUUCAUGAAACUAGGGCUAAUACCUACUAGGAGCUCCUUCUGCCUGGUUGGGGUUGGAAAGUUUCGGCGGUUUGGGAUGGCCUCUCGGCUUAUCCGCUUGUUGGUGGGGGAGUGGCUUACGAAGGCUUUGCCGGGUAGCCGGCCUGAGAGGGUGACCGGCGACAUGGGGACUAAGGGACGGACCAGAAGGCUACGGGACGCAGCAGGCGGGAAUAUUGCAGAAUGGGGGGAAGCCUGAGGCAGAAACGUCGGGUGCGGGAUGACGGCCUUCGGGGGAAAAACCGCUGUCGAAGAUAACGAAGAUUUGUGUAACGGUAGUGGGUAAAGAAGCACCGGCUAACUACGU